UACGUAGGGUGCGAGCGUUAAUCGGAAUUACUGGGCGUAAAGCGUGCGCAGGCGGUUCGGUGUGUCUGAUGUGAAAGCCCCGGGCUCAACUUGGGAACGGCAUUGGAAACUGGCGAGCUAGAGUGUGGCAGAGGGGGGUGGAAUUCCGCGUGUAGCAGUGAAAUGCGUAGAGAUGCGGAGGAACACCGAUGGCGAAGGCAGCCCCCUGGGCUGACACUGACGCUCAGGCACGAAAGCGUGGGGAGCAAACAGG
RNAcentral lists this ribosomal RNA (253 nucleotides) under uncultured bacterium. Its description in RNAcentral is "partial 16S ribosomal RNA". It matches the Rfam family "Bacterial small subunit ribosomal RNA", at positions 524 to 776 of the family's 1533-position model. The record is from RNAcentral.